UUCGCAAUGCCCGAAAGGGUGACAAUGCGACGCCGCGUGAGCGAUGAAGGCCUUCGGGUUGUAAAGCUCUGUUAGCUCGGAUGAAAGCAAGAAAGCUAAUACCUUUUUUGUUUGACGGUACGGGCAGAGGAAGCCACGGCUAACUCCGUGCCAGCAGCCGCGGUAAGACGGAUGGAGCGAGCGUUGUUCGGAAUCACUGGGCAUAAAGCGCAUGUAGGCGGCGGCGCAAGUCAGGUGUGAAAUCCCACGGCUCACCCGUGGAACUGCAUUUGAUACUGCGUCGCUGGAGUGAAGGAGGGGAGAGUGGAACUGCUGGUGGAGCGGUGAAAUGCGUAGAUAUCAGAAGGAACGCCGGCGGCGAAAGCGACUCUCUGGCCCGAAACUGACGCUGAGUGUGCGAAAGCUAGGGGAGCAAACGGGAUUAGAUACCCCGGUAGUCCUAGCCGUAAACGAUGGGCACUAAGUAGAGGGGUUUU
RNAcentral lists this ribosomal RNA (476 nucleotides) under uncultured bacterium. RNAcentral's name for it is "bacterial SSU rRNA". It matches the Rfam family "Bacterial small subunit ribosomal RNA", at positions 365 to 832 of the family's 1533-position model. The record is from RNAcentral.